UUUGGAUAAGAGAGCUCACCAUGGCCUGGACUCUGGUUUUUCUGGCCCUUCUCAGUUACUGCUCAGGUAAGGAUGGGGAGGAAUAACAUCUCUUUUGCCGUGGAGCCAACAGCACAAUAAACUAUAAUAUAUAUUCAUUUAUUAUGUUUAUUUAUUAUGGAAACUUAAAGCUCCAGUGAUAUUUGAGAACACAGAGGAUGGAGAGUCAUGCUUUUCUUUUUCUUUUUCAAAAGGUGCCAAUUCACAGCCAACAGUGACUCAGACAGGCUCCCAAUCUGUGUCCCUGGGCCAAACUGUGAAAUUCUCCUGCUCUAAAAGUAGUGGUGGUAGCUGGGGCAGCUUUCACUGGUAUCAACAGAAACCUGGACAGGCUCCUCGCUUUGUGUGGUAUGGCUCCAGCACCAGGGGAGAAGGGAUCCCAGAUCGGUUCACUGGCUCUGAAUCUGGGAACGCUGGCUCUUUAACCAUCUCCAACACCCAGGCUGAAGAUGAGGCCGUUUAUUACUGUGGUGCCAGGGAGAGCACUGGUAGCUGGAAGUA
This 540-nucleotide long non-coding RNA is filed under the name Podarcis lilfordi (Lilford's wall lizard). The record is from RNAcentral. Lineage: Eukaryota; Metazoa; Chordata; Lepidosauria; Squamata; Lacertidae.